AUUCCUACGGGAGGCAGCAGUGGGGAAUAUUGGACAAUGGACCAAAAGUCUGAUCCAGCAAUUCUGUGUGCACGAUGAAGGUCUUCGGAUUGUAAAGUGCUUUCAGUUGGGAAGAAGAAAGUGACGGUACCAACAGAAGAAGCGACGGCUAAAUACGUGCCAGCAGCCGCGGUAAUAAU
RNAcentral lists this ribosomal RNA (179 nucleotides) under uncultured bacterium. RNAcentral's name for it is "partial 16S ribosomal RNA". It matches the Rfam family "Bacterial small subunit ribosomal RNA", at positions 335 to 527 of the family's 1533-position model. The record is from RNAcentral.